This 659-nucleotide ribosomal RNA is filed under the name uncultured fungus. Its description in RNAcentral is "eukaryotic LSU rRNA". It matches the Rfam family "Eukaryotic large subunit ribosomal RNA", at positions 24 to 664 of the family's 3401-position model. The record is from RNAcentral. Lineage: Eukaryota; Fungi.
CCCGCUGAACUUAAGCAUAUCACUAAGCGGAGGAAAAGAAAUUAACUAAGAUUGCCUCAGUAACGGCGAGUGAAGCGGCAAAAGCCCAAACUGGAAAUCUUCACCCUUCGGGUGACGAAUUGUAAUCUAGAGGGGGGUAACUUAACUGGUUUUGGCGCAGAAGUGCCUUAGAACGGGCCGCCAGAGAGGGUGACAGCCCCGUAUGUGGUGCCAGAACCAACCUAGUUCCUUUCUAAGAGUCGGGUUGUUUUGAAUUGCAGCCCUAAUCCGGGAGAUAGACUUCUUCUAAGGCUAAAUAUAUAUGGGAAACCGAUAGCGAACAAGUACUGUGAAGGAAAGAUGAAAAGAACUUUGAAAAGAGAGUCAAAAGACUUGAAAUCGUUGAGAAGGAAGCGGUAGAAAUUUAUUCUUCUGCUGUGAAUGAAGGUGUUUGGCUUGCGUAUCAGGGCUUCCCAGUACGUCAAAGGCUGGUGGUUUUGCGUGCGUAACCGAUAGCUGGAUUCUCAGUGGUGAGGCAAAAUGGGGUUUCACUCCUACAAAAGCUUGUUAGAAUUCGGAGGCUUCGGCUUUCAUCCUGGCUUAGCUAGUAGGCGUGGAGCCUGAGGAUGCUUUGUGCGAUUUUGCCAAAAUGGUUUUUACCGACCCGUCUUGAAACACGG